GUAGGUGGCAAGCGUUGUCCGGAAUUAUUGGGCGUAAAGCGCGCGCAGGCGGUUCUUUAAGUCUGAUGUGAAAGCCCACGGCUCAACCGUGGAGGGUCAUUGGAAACUGGAGAACUUGAGUACAGAAGAGGAAAGCGGAAUUCCACGUGUAGCGGUGAAAUGCGUAGAGAUGUGGAGGAACACCAGUGGCGAAAGCGGCUUUCUGGUCUGUAACUGACGCUGAGGCGCGAAAGCGUGGGGAGCAAACAGGGAUUAGAUACCCUGGUAGUCCACGCCGUAAACGAUGAGUGCUAAGUGUUAGGGGGUUUCCGCCCCCUUAGUGCUGCAGCUAACGCAUUAAGCACUCCGCCUGGGGAGUACGGCCGCAGGGCUG
RNAcentral lists this ribosomal RNA (373 nucleotides) under uncultured organism. RNAcentral describes it as "partial 16S ribosomal RNA". It matches the Rfam family "Bacterial small subunit ribosomal RNA", at positions 527 to 896 of the family's 1533-position model. The record is from RNAcentral.